Nematostella vectensis (starlet sea anemone) is the source of this 689-nucleotide long non-coding RNA. RefSeq lists it as uncharacterized. The record is from RefSeq and is a predicted model, not a curated record. Lineage: Eukaryota; Metazoa; Cnidaria; Anthozoa; Actiniaria; Edwardsiidae. The transcript has 2 exons.
AUAUCAAAUGUGCAGAAAAAAGUGCCUUUCUUCGAAUCAUAUGCAUCCAUGUAGUCAAAGGUUUUUCUUUUUCUCUGAUGAAACGAGGAAAAAACGAGGCGCUUUAAAACGGUAAAAUUCUCUCUACUAACUAUUCUUGCUAAUUGCUUUAAUCUGUCACUUGCGUCAUCAAAAAACGGAGGAGGAUGGAUAAAGACAGACAGCAUAGUUCAAUACUCAUGACAUUACCUAUUAUAGGAAACGAAGGACAUAUUUCUGGGUUCCAGGAAGCCAAGCCGCUGUUACAUGUCAAUCACCAGAGCCGGGUCAGGCGGGAUGAGAAGUAGCACGAUCUGUCCACGUGAUCUGUCUAGCGUUGCCGCGGCGCAGAGGGUUGCAUAGGGUGUGAGGAUAUCAACGAUCCCGUCAACGGCGUCCCCAUGCGAUAUCCUCAUGGAUAUGGAAACUAUAGAAAACAUAAGAGAGAUAAGGGGGGACAGAAGGACUUGCGAAAGCGUGUUCUAUUACUGUUCUAACACCUCGCCUUACUCCUAAAAAAACCUGAAAUGUGACGUUGGCACCACGGGGUCACAGUGGAUAAACCUCACACCAUCCACACGCCGUAAACUUACUGCAAAAUAAACAAAGUCGAUUGCUUAAUUUGUAUUCUAUUUCCGUUUUGUUGAAUAAAAAUAGAUCACUUUUUCAAA